This 2923-nucleotide ribosomal RNA is filed under the name Klebsiella pneumoniae. RNAcentral describes it as "23S ribosomal RNA". It matches the Rfam family "Bacterial large subunit ribosomal RNA". Lineage: Bacteria; Pseudomonadati; Pseudomonadota; Gammaproteobacteria; Enterobacterales; Enterobacteriaceae. The record is from RNAcentral.
GGGUUGUGAGGUUAAGCGACUAAGCGUACACGGUGGAUGCCCUGGCAGUCAGAGGCGAUGAAGGACGUGCUAAUCUGCGAAAAGCGUCGGUAAGGUGAUAUGAACCGUUAUAACCGGCGAUGUCCGAAUGGGGAAACCCAGUGUGAUUCGUCACACUAUCGUUAACUGAAUACAUAGGUUAACGAGGCGAACCGGGGGAACUGAAACAUCUAAGUACCCCGAGGAAAAGAAAUCAACCGAGAUUCCCCCAGUAGCGGCGAGCGAACGGGGAGCAGCCCAGAGUCUGAAUCAGCUUGUGUGUUAGUGGAACGGUCUGGAAAGUCCGACGGUACAGGGUGAUAGUCCCGUACACCAAAAUGCACAGGCUGUGAACUCGAAGAGUAGGGCGGGACACGUGGUAUCCUGUCUGAAUAUGGGGGGACCAUCCUCCAAGGCUAAAUACUCCUGACUGACCGAUAGUGAACCAGUACCGUGAGGGAAAGGCGAAAAGAACCCCGGCGAGGGGAGUGAAAAAGAACCUGAAACCGUGUACGUACAAGCAGUGGGAGCACCUUCGGGUGUGACUGCGUACCUUUUGUAUAAUGGGUCAGCGACUUAUAUUCUGUAGCAAGGUUAACCGUAUAGGGGAGCCGCAGGGAAACCGAGUCUUAACUGGGCGUUAAGUUGCAGGGUAUAGACCCGAAACCCGGUGAUCUAGCCAUGGGCAGGUUGAAGGUUGGGUAACACUAACUGGAGGACCGAACCGACUAAUGUUGAAAAAUUAGCGGAUGACUUGUGGCUGGGGGUGAAAGGCCAAUCAAACCGGGAGAUAGCUGGUUCUCCCCGAAAGCUAUUUAGGUAGCGCCUCGUGAAUUCAUCUUCGGGGGUAGAGCACUGUUUCGGCUAGGGGGUCAUCCCGACUUACCAACCCGAUGCAAACUACGAAUACCGAAGAAUGUUAUCACGGGAGACACACGGCGGGUGCUAACGUCCGUCGUGAAGAGGGAAACAACCCAGACCGCCAGCUAAGGUCCCAAAGUCAUGGUUAAGUGGGAAACGAUGUGGGAAGGCACAGACAGCCAGGAUGUUGGCUUAGAAGCAGCCAUCAUUUAAAGAAAGCGUAAUAGCUCACUGGUCGAGUCGGCCUGCGCGGAAGAUGUAACGGGGCUAAACCAUGCACCGAAGCUGCGGCAGCGACACUAUGUGUUGUUGGGUAGGGGAGCGUUCUGUAAGCCUGCGAAGGUGACCUGUGAGGGUUGCUGGAGGUAUCAGAAGUGCGAAUGCUGACAUAAGUAACGAUAAAGCGGGUGAAAAGCCCGCUCGCCGGAAGACCAAGGGUUCCUGUCCAACGUUAAUCGGGGCAGGGUGAGUCGACCCCUAAGGCGAGGCCGAAAGGCGUAGUCGAUGGGAAACAGGUUAAUAUUCCUGUACUUGGUGUUACUGCGAAGGGGGGACGGAGAAGGCUAUGUUAGCCGGGCGACGGUUGUCCCGGUUUAAGCAUGUAGGCUGGUUAUCCAGGCAAAUCCGGAUAAUCAAGGCUGAGGUGUGAUGACGAGGCACUACGGUGCUGAAGUAACAAAUGCCCUGCUUCCAGGAAAAGCCUCUAAGCAUCAGGUAACAUCAAAUCGUACCCCAAACCGACACAGGUGGUCAGGUAGAGAAUACCAAGGCGCUUGAGAGAACUCGGGUGAAGGAACUAGGCAAAAUGGUGCCGUAACUUCGGGAGAAGGCACGCUGGUGUGUAGGUGAAGUCCCUGCGGAUGGAGCUGAGACCAGUCGAAGAUACCAGCUGGCUGCAACUGUUUAUUAAAAACACAGCACUGUGCAAACACGAAAGUGGACGUAUACGGUGUGACGCCUGCCCGGUGCCGGAAGGUUAAUUGAUGGGGUUAUCCGUAAGGAGAAGCUCUUGAUCGAAGCCCCGGUAAACGGCGGCCGUAACUAUAACGGUCCUAAGGUAGCGAAAUUCCUUGUCGGGUAAGUUCCGACCUGCACGAAUGGCGUAAUGAUGGCCAGGCUGUCUCCACCCGAGACUCAGUGAAAUUGAACUCGCUGUGAAGAUGCAGUGUACCCGCGGCAAGACGGAAAGACCCCGUGAACCUUUACUAUAGCUUGACACUGAACAUUGAGCCUUGAUGUGUAGGAUAGGUGGGAGGCUUUGAAGCGUGGACGCCAGUCUGCGUGGAGCCAACCUUGAAAUACCACCCUUUAAUGUUUGAUGUUCUAACGUUGGCCCCUGACCGGGGUUGCGGACAGUGUCUGGUGGGUAGUUUGACUGGGGCGGUCUCCUCCCAAAGCGUAACGGAGGAGCACGAAGGUUAGCUAAUCCUGGUCGGACAUCAGGAGGUUAGUGCAAUGGCAUAAGCUAGCUUGACUGCGAGCGUGACGGCGCGAGCAGGUGCGAAAGCAGGUCAUAGUGAUCCGGUGGUUCUGAAUGGAAGGGCCAUCGCUCAACGGAUAAAAGGUACUCCGGGGAUAACAGGCUGAUACCGCCCAAGAGUUCAUAUCGACGGCGGUGUUUGGCACCUCGAUGUCGGCUCAUCACAUCCUGGGGCUGAAGUAGGUCCCAAGGGUAUGGCUGUUCGCCAUUUAAAGUGGUACGCGAGCUGGGUUUAGAACGUCGUGAGACAGUUCGGUCCCUAUCUGCCGUGGGCGCUGGAGAAUUGAGGGGGGCUGCUCCUAGUACGAGAGGACCGGAGUGGACGCAUCACUGGUGUUCGGGUUGUCAUGCCAAUGGCACUGCCCGGUAGCUAAAUGCGGAAGAGAUAAGUGCUGAAAGCAUCUAAGCACGAAACUUGCCCCGAGAUGAGUUCUCCCUGAGACUUUAAGUCUCCUGAAGGAACGUUAAAGACGAUGACGUUGAUAGGCCGGGUGUGUAAGCGCAGCGAUGCGUUGAGCUAACCGGUACUAAUGAACCGUGAGGCUUAACCUUACAACGCCGAAG